CUUUGGUGCUCUUGCAAUGGUAAAUUGCGAACCCCGCCAGGCCCGGAAGGGAGCAACGGUAGUUAUUUNUCCAUGUGCCGAGAUGUUGCUGAGGAGA
This 97-nucleotide signal recognition particle RNA is filed under the name Porticoccaceae bacterium. RNAcentral describes it as "signal recognition particle sRNA small type". It matches the Rfam family "Bacterial small signal recognition particle RNA". Rfam says of the family: The signal recognition particle (SRP) is a universally conserved ribonucleoprotein involved in the co-translational targeting of proteins to membranes. Archaeal SRP consists of a 7S RNA and homologues of the eukaryotic SRP19 and SRP54 proteins. Lineage: Bacteria; Pseudomonadati; Pseudomonadota; Gammaproteobacteria; Cellvibrionales; Porticoccaceae. The record is from RNAcentral.